GUGCUCGCUUCACAGCACAUAUACUAAAAUUGGAAUGAUACAGAGAAGAUUAGCAUGGCCCCUGUGCAAGGAUGACAUGCAAAUUCAUGAAGUGUUCCUAUUUUUG
This 106-nucleotide small nuclear RNA is filed under the name Propithecus coquereli (Coquerel's sifaka). Lineage: Eukaryota; Metazoa; Chordata; Mammalia; Primates; Indriidae. The record is from RNAcentral.